Molecule: ribosomal RNA, 377 nt
Filed under: uncultured eukaryote
Lineage: Eukaryota
Description: SSU rRNA
Rfam family: Eukaryotic small subunit ribosomal RNA
Source: RNAcentral
AGCUCCAAUAGCGUAUAUUAAAGUUGUUGCAGUUAAAAAGCUCGUAGUUGGAUUUGUGAUGGCACCUGCGGUCCAAAAUGUUUUGGUACUGUCGGGUGCUGUCAUCCUUGGGUGGAACCUGUGGGGCAUUAGGUUGUUUUGCAGGGGAUGCCCAUCGUUUACUGUGAAAAAAUUAGAGUGUUCAAAGCAGGCUUAUGCCGUUGAAUAUAUUAGCAUGGAAUAAUGAGAUAGGACUUGGGUACUAUUUUGUUGGUUUGCGCACCGAAGUAAUGAUUAAUAGGGACAGUUGGGGGUAUUCGUAUUCCAUUGUCAGAGGUGAAAUUCUUGGAUUUUUGGAAGACGAACUACUGCGAAAGCAUUUACCAAGGAUGUUUUCA